AGAGUUUGAUCCUGGCUCAGAACGAACGCUGGCGGCGUGCCUAACACAUGCAAGUCGAACGGAAUUGAGGGGCUUGCUCCUCAAUUUAGUGGCGCACGGGGGAGUAACACGUGGAUAAUCUGCCUGGCGAUUCGGGAUAACACUUCGAAAGGGGUGCUAAUACCGGAUAAGCCCACGGACUCUUAGGGGUUUGCGGGAAAAGGGGGCCUCUGUAUAUGCUCCUGUCGCUAGAUGAGUCCGCGGCCCAUUAGCUAGUUGGUAGGGUAAUGGCCUACCAAGGCGACGAUGGUUAGCGGGUCUGAGAGGAUGAUCCGCCACACUGGAACUGAAACACGGACCAGACUCCUACGGGAGGCAGCAGUGAGGAAUAUUGCGCAAUGGGGGCAACCCUGACGCAGCGACGCCGCGUGGAUGAUGAAGGCCUUCGGGUCGUAAAAUCCUGUCAAGUGGAAAGAAGUGCAUGGUGGCUAAUACCUGCCAUGUUUGACGGUACCACUGAAGGAAGCACCGGCUAACUCCGUGCCAGCAGCCGCGGUAAUACGGAGGGUGCAAGCGUUGUUCGGAAUUAUUGGGCGUAAAGCGCGUGUAGGCGGUUUGUUAAGUCUGGUGUGAAAGCCCUGGGCUCAACCUGGGAAGUGCAUUGGAUACUGGCAAACUUGAGUACGGGAGAGGAUAGUGGAAUUUCGAGUGUAGGGGUGAAAUCCGUAGAUAUUCGAAGGAACACCGGUGGCGAAGGCGGCUAUCUGGACCGAUACUGACGCUGAGACGCGAAAGCGUGGGGAGCAAACAGGAUUAGAUACCCUGGUAGUCCACGCCGUAAACGAUGAUCACUCGCUAGUUGUUGGCGAUACAUUGCCAGUGACUGAGCGAAAGCAUUAAGUAAUCCACCUGGGGAGUACGUUCGCAAGAAUGAAACUCAAAGGAAUUGACGGGGGCCCGCACAAGCGGAGGAGCAUGUGGUUUAAUUCGAUGAUACGCGAGGAACCUUACCUGGGCUUAAAUGUAGAGCGACAGAUUGUGAAAGCAUAUAAGCCAGCAAUGGCCGUAUACGAGGUGCUGCAUGGUUGUCGUCAGCUCGUGCCGUGAGGUGUUAGGUUAAGUCCUGCAACGAGCGCAACCCUUACCUUUAGUUGCCAUCAUUAAGUUGGGCACUCUAAAGAGACUGCCGGUGUCAAACCGGAGGAAGGUGGGGAUGACGUCAAGUCCUCAUGGCCCUUAUGUCCAGGGCUACACACGUGCUACAAUGGCCGGUACAAAGAGUUGCGAUGCCGCGAGGUGGAGUAAAUCCCAUAAAACCGGUCUCAGUUCGGAUUGGAGUCUGCAACUCGACUCCAUGAAGUUGGAAUCGCUAGUAAUCGCGGAUCAGCAUGCCGCGGUGAAUACGUUCUCGGGGUUUGUACACACCGCCCGUCACACCACGGGAGUCGAUUGGUCCCGAAGUGCGUGAGCUAACCCGCAAGGGAGGCAGCGUCCUAAGGAAUGGUCGGUGACUGGGGUGAAGUCGUAACAAGGUAACC
Molecule: ribosomal RNA, 1517 nt
Filed under: uncultured bacterium
Lineage: Bacteria
Description: 16S ribosomal RNA
Rfam family: Bacterial small subunit ribosomal RNA
Source: RNAcentral